Molecule: long non-coding RNA, 2193 nt
Organism: Lates calcarifer (barramundi perch)
Lineage: Eukaryota; Metazoa; Chordata; Actinopteri; Centropomidae
Exons: 3
Source: RefSeq, a predicted model, not a curated record
AGAUCAGGAUUGCCCAACAGCUUGGACUUCUGGGAAAAAAUAAUUAAUUUGGUGUGAACAUUUUUGACUUACAGAAAUCAAAGGUUGUCUGUCUGAAUUUAGGCCAAACAUAGCCUGCACUUCUGUCUCCAUACAAAUCACAGAAUUUUUUAUAACUGAUAGAAGAGGGGGAAAAGGGUCUACCCCCUUUGGAACUAUCAAAAUCACUAUGAAUUUGGAUUAAUAGCCAUUUAAUUGACUGGAGUGGAGAGGUAAAAAUGUGUGUUUGUUUUAUGAUACGGCUGAUGCCGGAUGCGCCUCAGAGGUAUCUUUGAACCUUACAGGACGGGCGGUUUUGCUGCAUAGCUGGAAGCCCCAUAGAGGCUGUAACAACUGGGCCACUCUCUCUAUUCACCGAGAGAGGGGAGAGCACUGCUGGUGGAGGAGGCGAGGAGAGGGGGUGGCAGUGAGGGGAGGUGGGGGGUUUACCAGGGAUAGAGGGAGGAAGGAGGGAGGGUGGGAGAGGAGAAGAAACGUAUAAUCACCCAAACAACCAUUUUUACCCAUUUUACCCCCUCUGGAUCUGUGUCGCAAGUCUGCAGUCUGCCGUGAGGUUAUCUGUCUUUCACUGCGGAUACCGUGAAGGGAGGCCGGACCGAGGGGAAGACACCAAGAGUUUCAGAUGAUGUCCAGUACGCCAAGGCUGCUCCAGCCAAUAAACAAGGCGACUAACAAUGGAAGAGGGCCAGGAAUGAAGAGAGGGAGACAGGCUAACCACCACACCACACCACACGCAGACAGAAACAAAGGUGGAAGAGGACAUUUUAUCACCAGAAGUUGCCUGUGUUUUACGGCUAUCUUGAAAGACACUGUUUUGAAAAAGUAUGCACCUUAGCAUGUUUUUUUUACGUAUUUGUAUUUAAUAGUUAUAUUUUUUCAAUUUUUUCUGGGAAUAUCAAGGGAAAAUAGUGCAGGAUAAACCCCAUUGUUUUUAUAUUUGUGGAAUGAAAUUUAUGUCAGUUUAUUAAACUAAAUUAUAUAAGAAGUAGAUGGGAAAAUAUGCAGUGAUACUUUUUGUGUGCUCUUAAUUCUAAUUCAUGACAUUUAAGAUAAAAAGAAAAAUAGCUUCUUUGUUUGCGGACAAUGGAGCAGAAUAUGAUGUGUCAUUUGCUUCUUUCUCUGUCCCGCAAUAUGCUUUUAUAGAGUUGCCAUGUUAGAAUUUAAAUAGUUAUUCCAGGACUGAAGGCAAGAAUACUAUUUAACAUUUUUGUAUGUUCUUGUUACUGGUUCAUGUGUGCCUCCCUGAGCAAAAUUAAUUAUCACCUUUGCCCCAAAGAAAAUGCAAUUAAAAAGUAGAGGUAAUGGUUUUUUCUCUAAAAUGAAAUGUGACAAUGGUUUUGUCCCCAAUUCAUUGCUUUUAUUUGAUAAUGUGUGCAUCAGACAAAUUGUUGUAAAAUCUUAAUUUUUUUGGUCUAUUUUUUUUCUUCUUGUGGCUGUGUAUUUGCAUUUUAGAGUGGUAGGAUGAGGGUGUGUAUGUGUUGGUAUGUGCGUGUGUUUGAGAAAGGAGGGGGGUGGGAGAAAGAGAGAGACAUUAGUGACAGUCUGAUAAAAGAUGUCUCCAAAACCCUAAUUAAAAUUGAAUACCCCUGCAAAUGCAAAGCAACAUGCAAUCUCCAGGUAUUUCAUUUAGAGCAACUAUCUCAGUGCGAGGCUGUUUUUUAUGUCUUUCUUCAUUGCACACAAAUAGCUAUCCCCGCUUUCGUUUUAUUUUUCACACUUCCACAUCUGCCGCUGUCUUUGUCAAACCUCACAAGUUUGCCCUUCUCUCCCUCCCUUGAUGUCAGACACAAUGACAAAAUAAAGUCAAACUGAGUAACCCGUAGUGUGUUUCUUUUUCGUUCUUUUUUUUCUCCCCCAAAACACUUCCAAGGUUCAGUUCAUUAAACUGCUGGAAAAAAAUAAAUAAAUAAAAAAUCAGGGCUUCAAAUGCAAUAGUGAGCACAGCGUCAAGCUCUUGUAUUUUGAUAACACAAUCACGUUCAACGAGAACAACUUUAUCUUUAUUCCCUAACAAAUGCUGACAUUGGUUUCACAUUGGGUUUUAUUAUUCUUUCCAAUUAAAACAUCAUUUUAUAAAUACAUUGAUCGCCUGCUGUAUCAAUUCAUUAAUGAAAAAUAUACUUGACUUACUAUAGAGUAAUGCCUGAAACAGUU